CAGCCGCCGCGGGAAUACGUAGGGUGCAAGCGUUAAUCGGAAUUACUGGGCGUAAAGCGUGCGCAGGCGGUUAUAUAAGACAGAUGUGAAAUCCCCGGGCUCAACCUGGGAACUGCAUUUGUGACUGUAUAGCUAGAGUACGGCAGAGGGGGAUGGAAUUCCGCGUGUAGCAGUGAAAUGCGUAGAUAUGCGGAGGAACACCGAUGGCGAAGGCAAUCCCCUGGGCCUGUACUGACGCUCAUGCACGAAAGCGUGGGGAGCAAACAGGAUUAGAUACCCCCGUAGUCCCUGUCUCUUAUAU
Molecule: ribosomal RNA, 301 nt
Filed under: uncultured bacterium
Lineage: Bacteria
Description: partial 16S ribosomal RNA
Rfam family: Bacterial small subunit ribosomal RNA
Source: RNAcentral